Molecule: long non-coding RNA, 917 nt
Filed under: Equus caballus (horse)
Lineage: Eukaryota; Metazoa; Chordata; Mammalia; Perissodactyla; Equidae
Description: lncRNA (ENSECAG00000050969.1)
Source: RNAcentral
CUCCUGCCAGUCUAGCUGGGAAGACAGCCUCAUGCCCUGCCAUUGACUGGCCAAUGGCCACAGGAUAAGAAAGCCAUGCAGAGUCGACAGUGGCACUCAAGUGGGUGUGCACACAACACCACAUUGGCAUCACUGCACGGAGAUGGAAUGGAAAGGGGCUCCCGGCGGCUGGCACACGGCUCCUGAGCACAAGCAGUGAGGACGUCGCAGGAGGAAUCUGAGGGCUGCCCCUGCCCCGUGCCACCCCCCCCCACACACACACAAACACACACACACACACAUUGAGGACAUCACAGGGGAAUCUGAGGGCUGCCCCCGCCCCCUGCACUCACCCACAUACACACACACAUACAGACGGGGCUUCCACUGCAGCACCCAGCCACACUAGAUAGAGAGGGCUGGAGACAGUGGCUGCUGUAUUCUUGACUUCACAAGCAUCACAAAGGAAAUGCCUCCAUCAGCAGCGGUCCUAUCCUGAAAUGCGACGGGGCCAUAAUGGCAGCUGCUGGAGACGCCUCCGUGGAGCAGAAUCCAGAAGUCGGCCCUGUACUGCUUAGGAGACCACAGACGCAGUGGAAGCUUCAGGAUCAGAAAUCAGGCUCAAGAUUUGAUUGUCAUUGGUGAUCCCUUCAGGGGAAACCAUUUUAUUGUUGGAAUUGACUUUUAUGGUCAUUUUUAUUAAACAUCACAUCUAUGGGCAGGCUUCUCCCCCUACUUGGGGUGGCAGAUCUGGGAUGGGGGAGAGGCUACAGGAAGAGAGAGAAAAAGGAAGAAAGACGGUUAUACACCUAGCACCUACUGUGUGUCUUAAAUACAUUCUCAGGUUUGGAAAAGGUGGAAUUUUGUGACAAAAGUCAGAAUCAAAUCAAAUCAAGCCAAUAGAUCAAGCCCCUUCUCAUAAUAAAGACAGAUAUGGA